This 207-nucleotide ribosomal RNA is filed under the name uncultured bacterium. RNAcentral's name for it is "partial 16S ribosomal RNA". It matches the Rfam family "Bacterial small subunit ribosomal RNA", at positions 568 to 774 of the family's 1533-position model. The record is from RNAcentral.
CGUGUAGGCGGUUACGCAAGUCUGGUGUGAAAUACCUCGGCUCAACCGAGGGGAUGCGCUGGAAACUGUGUGACUAGAGUGAUGGAGGGGGAACUGGAAUUCCUGGUGUAGGGGUGAAAUCUGUAGAUAUCAGGAAGAACACCGGUGGCGAAGGCGAGUUCCUGGCCAUAUACUGACGCUGAGGCGCGAAAGCGUGGGGAGCGAACA